This 76-nucleotide transfer RNA is filed under the name Clostridiaceae bacterium. RNAcentral's name for it is "tRNA-Gln". It matches the Rfam family "tRNA". Rfam says of the family: Transfer RNA (tRNA) molecules are approximately 80 nucleotides in length. The record is from RNAcentral. Lineage: Bacteria; Bacillati; Bacillota; Clostridia; Eubacteriales; Clostridiaceae.
UGGGAUGUAGCCAAGUGGUAAGGCACAGGACUUUGACUCCUGCAUUUCGCUGGUUCGAGUCCAGCCAUCCCAGCCA